RNAcentral lists this ribosomal RNA (507 nucleotides) under uncultured bacterium. Its description in RNAcentral is "bacterial SSU rRNA". It matches the Rfam family "Bacterial small subunit ribosomal RNA", at positions 791 to 1304 of the family's 1533-position model. The record is from RNAcentral.
UAGUCCACGCCCUAAACGACGUAUACUCGAUGUUUGGAUUUAUUUCUGGGCAUCCAAGGGAAACCAUUAAGUAUACCACCUGGGGAGUACGUCGGCAACGAUGAAACUCAAAGGAAUUGACGGGGGUCCGCACAAGCAGUGGAGCAUGUGGUUUAAUUCGAUGAUACGCGAGGAACCUUACCAGGGCUUAAAUGUAAGUUGCAUUAGUUAGAGAUAGCUAUUUCUUCGGACUACUUACAAGGUGCUGCAUGGUUGUCGUCAGCUCGUGCCGUGAGGUGUCAGGUUAAGUCCUAUAACGAGCGCAACCCCUACCGUUAGUUGCUAGCAGGUCAUGCUGAGGACUCUAAUGGGACUGCCGGUGCAAACCGAGAGGAAGGUGGGGAUGACGUCAAAUCAUCACGGCCCUUACGUCCUGGGCUACACACGUGCUACAAUGGUAUAUACAGAGGGCAGCUACUCCGCGAGGGGAUGCGAAUCUUGAAAGUAUAUCACAGUUCGGAUCGGAGU